GACGAACGCUGGCGGCGUGCUUAACACAUGCAAGUCGAACGGAAAGGCCCUGCUUUUGUGGGGUGCUCGAGUGGCGAACGGGUGAGUAACACGUGAGUAACCUGCCCUUGACUUUGGGAUAACUUCAGGAAACUGGGGCUAAUACCGGAUAGGAGCUCCUGCUGCAUGGUGGGGGUUGGAAAGUUUCGGCGGUUGGGGAUGGACUCGCGGCUCAUCAGCUUGUUGGUGGGGUAGUGGCUUACCAAGGCUUUGACGGGUAGCCGGCCUGGGAGGGUGACCGGCCACAUUGGGACUGGAAUGCGGCCCGGACUCCUACGGUAGGCAACAGUGGAGAAUAUUGCACAAUGGGCUGAGGCCUGAUGCAGCAACGCCGCGUGCGGGAUGACGGCCUUCGGGUUGUGAUCCGCUUUCGCCUGUGACGACGCGUGAAUGACGGUAAUGGGUAAAGAAGCACCGGCUAACUACGUG
Molecule: ribosomal RNA, 468 nt
Filed under: uncultured bacterium
Lineage: Bacteria
Description: partial 16S ribosomal RNA
Rfam family: Bacterial small subunit ribosomal RNA
Source: RNAcentral